This 1595-nucleotide unclassified non-coding RNA is filed under the name Hevea brasiliensis (rubber tree). Lineage: Eukaryota; Viridiplantae; Streptophyta; Magnoliopsida; Malpighiales; Euphorbiaceae. The record is from RNAcentral.
CGGAGUUGAGCAUUGAGAACCCUCAGACUGAUCACUGAACCAUAUUGUAAUAAAAGCAUGAAGCUGGUUCUGAUCGUUCUGAUCUUACAGUGAAGUGUAGGGACGGGGAGUGAGCUUUCUUUCCAAGUCCGGCUACAUAUUACAUACAUACAUAUCAAAUAUAUUCACCUACGUUCCAACACACUAAAUUCUUAUUGAAAUUCUAAUCUAACAACCUUGCAGGUCGCGCCACUUGAGGUAAACCAGUCCUGCACGAUAAUGAGUAUAUGCCCCAGCAACUACUAAAACGUGGAAUAGUUGGUGGCUGUGGCCAGCAAUGUCGAAUUUUCCAGGCAUCCAUCGCUCAGGAAUUCUUGCUGCAUAAACCAGGGCUCCAACCCCAUAAAAUAGCCCCAUCAGUAUCUCAUACCCUGUUGUGAGGAGUGCUUCGGGUGAGCCCCAGAACAGGAUAAGCUUGUGUAGGAUAGGGGCAACCCCGCACAAGCCCAUCCCGAGGAAGAGGGAUGCCCGAAAAGUGCGAUAUUCAGGGCUUUGAAACAUUGGCAGCAGAGAAACCAAGAUAGUUGCAAUUCCCAGGAGAGUAAUGAACCCCAUAUAGAGACUGCAAAAGAAGGGAUAGCACAUGAAGGAGUAGUAAACUGGGGGAUAGAAGGAGGUAGAUAUAAGGGCUGCAAUUCCGGCAUAGUCCAGUCUGAGCAUUAUGUAUGAGACACGUUCAGAGUGGCAGGAAAGAAGGUGGCAAGUGCUGCUAGCAAGCAGGCAAAACAUAGCCCCGCCCAAGAAUGCAAAGAAAGGCCACCGAGUGAUUGGUCUCAUAGCCAAGGGUGCAAUCAUGUUGGCAACGUCCUCCUUCAUACUUCUCAGAACACAGUCAUCCGUUUGAUUUCCAUGGGAGAAUCGCUCAGGUAAACAAUUGUAUAGAAGUUCCACAACAUGCCAACGAGAUAGUGAGGAAAACAUAUCCAUUGAAGGCAAUGCAGUCUUCAACUCCUCCCUGAGUUUCUGCAGAUCAGGGAAGUGAGGCAAGGAAGGAAGGCACGUCAAGAGUUCUUCUUGCAAUUUGUGCAUAUCAGCUUUUCUCAACACGUCAGGCAAAUGAUGAAGAGGAUGAAUGUCAACAACAUCAGGAAUCUUUGUUGCAGUGUAUAUGGUCAAGGAGAGAAAGAGGAAAAAUCCAAUUAAAUGCGUCCAAACAUUAAGAGUCUCAUUGUGAAUGGAAAAGAUGCUGAGCAAUGUCUGCUUCAUAGGCCAGUCAGCGCGGUAAUGACCAAGAAUGAAUUCGUUAUCCCUCAAGUAGGCUGGUAAAGCGUGGUAUUCAACCAGUUGAUACUUGACCUUCUUCCAAAGUCUUUUCCCCUUUCCCUCCUUCGAAGAAUACUUAUGAUGGCCCUCCAUUGUUUCAGCAGUAAUUUUGAAUUUCUCAGUCAUUUCCUCGUAUGUAUCCAUUCCCUAAAAUUGGAAGAAGGCCAGAAGAAUAGAGAGGGUUAGAAGCAAGCCCUCGUCCCCUCCAGCAGCAGAAAGGGAACAAAAAAGAGAAAGUUAGCGGACAGAAUCGAAGGGGGCAGAGUCCGGUGGAUGAAUUGGCAAUGUUGGAG